CAGUAGCUGAGUGGAUAACGUGAUGGCGUUUGAAGCGAAAGGUAUUGGGUUCGAGUCCCAGAAUGAA
Molecule: transfer RNA, 67 nt
Filed under: Schistosoma mansoni
Lineage: Eukaryota; Metazoa; Platyhelminthes; Trematoda; Strigeidida; Schistosomatidae
Source: RNAcentral